This 333-nucleotide ribosomal RNA is filed under the name Brevibacillus laterosporus. RNAcentral's name for it is "bacterial SSU rRNA". It matches the Rfam family "Bacterial small subunit ribosomal RNA", at positions 1 to 340 of the family's 1533-position model. Lineage: Bacteria; Bacillati; Bacillota; Bacilli; Caryophanales; Paenibacillaceae. The record is from RNAcentral.
UGGAGAGUUUGAUCCUGGCUCAGGACGAACGCUGGCGGCGUGCCUAAUACAUGCAAGUCGAGCGAGGGUYUUCGGACCCUAGCGGCGGACGGGUGAGUAACACGUAGGCAACCUGCCUGUAAGACUGGGAUAACAUAGGGAAACUUAUGCUAAUACCGGAUAGAGUUUUGCUUCGCAUGAAGCGAAACGGAAAGAUGGCGCAAGCUAUCACUUGCAGAUGGGCCUGCGGCGCAUUAGCUAGUUGGUGAGGUAAAGGCUCACCAAGGCGACGAUGCGUAGCCGACCUGAGAGGGUGACCGGCCACACUGGGACUGAGACACGGCCCAGACUCCU